GGAUGUGAGACCAAUCUGGCUGCAAUAUCUGUCACCCCAUUGACCACCAGGUUUGAUUCAGCUGAUCUGGCUGGCUAGGCAUGUGUGCUCUUCCUCCCUCAUGGCUCCAUGUGUGUCCCUCCCGAAGCUGUGCACUCAGUUUAAGAGGACAACCACCUCUGAUAGAGGAGGCCCAUUUCUUCAGUAAGGGUAUAUGAGUACCUGUGCUUCCCUUCUAGAACCUCCAAAUAAGCUCUCAAAGAGUAUCAAGUACUGAAAAAAAAAAAUACCUGAUGGUUGAAUGAUGGAGGAAUGUAUUAGUCACUAUCAAAAAAAU
This 316-nucleotide small nuclear RNA is filed under the name Heterocephalus glaber (naked mole-rat). RNAcentral describes it as "7SK RNA". It matches the Rfam family "7SK RNA". From Rfam's summary of the family: 7SK was discovered as an abundant small nuclear RNA in the mid-70s but a possible function has only recently been suggested. Two independent studies have found that 7SK RNA binds the CDK9/cyclin T complex (known as elongation factor P-TEFb). Lineage: Eukaryota; Metazoa; Chordata; Mammalia; Rodentia; Bathyergidae. The record is from Rfam by way of RNAcentral.